GCGGUGGUAGUGUAGUGGUUAAGGAGACAGGCUAGCGUGCAGUAGCCUGAAAGUUGUGGGUUCAAUUCCCAACUUCCACC
Molecule: transfer RNA, 80 nt
Filed under: Alosa alosa (allis shad)
Lineage: Eukaryota; Metazoa; Chordata; Actinopteri; Clupeiformes; Clupeidae
Description: tRNA-OTHER
Source: RNAcentral